CUGGGAAAGGCCAUGUCUUGGUGCUUUUGAGCUAGUACACAUGGCAUGUCUGAAGCAUGACCAUGAAAUUCUUUUGCUUAUUCAGCUGAAUUAAAGUCAUCUUUGAGUUAGUUUGGCAAGGUAUAUGCAUGAUUGCAUUAUACUAUUGGUUAAAAUAGUUGGGGAGUUCAAGUCUACUUAUAGUUAUGCCUUUAUUUUCCAACCCAAAAUUACUACUCGGCUUGAUCACCCAACCCCUAGUGUCUUUGGACUCUUAAUCACAUCUACUCAGGGCAGUGAAGACUUGCUGCGUCCAAGUUAAACCAUGAGUUCCGAAGGCCAGUGCAGAAGGAGUAGUAACCGAUUGGAAAGAAGACAGAGGGCAAUUCAACGGGUUUGGAAGAGUAGCCCUGAGCUAACAUCUGCUGCCAAUCCUCCUCUUUUUUGCUGAGGAAGACUGGCCCUGAGCUAGCAUCUGUGCCCAUCUUCCUCUACGUUAUAUGUGGGACGCCUACCACAGCAUGGCUUGCCAAGUGGUGCCAUGUCCACACCCAGGAUCCGAACCUGUGGACCCCAGACCGAUGAAGCAGAACGUGUGAACUUAACCACUGCACCACCCAGCCGGCCCCCUUAAAGACCGAUCUUGAAUGGGAUUGUCAUAAGGUGACUUCCGGUUGCCAAGUUCUUAUGUUGCAUAUUUAUUCCUCUCUGGCAACUGAA
This 699-nucleotide long non-coding RNA is filed under the name Equus caballus (horse). RNAcentral describes it as "lncRNA (ENSECAG00000044652.1)". The record is from RNAcentral. Lineage: Eukaryota; Metazoa; Chordata; Mammalia; Perissodactyla; Equidae.